Long non-coding RNA from Pectinophora gossypiella (pink bollworm), 1107 nucleotides. RefSeq lists it as uncharacterized. The record is from RefSeq and is a predicted model, not a curated record. The transcript has 2 exons. NCBI's taxonomy places the organism in Eukaryota, Metazoa, Arthropoda, Insecta, Lepidoptera, Gelechiidae.
CACUAUUCUACCAACUAAAAUGUAAAGUUUGUGUGCUAGCUGUGUUGAGAUAUCGUCACUUGGUGUAAGUGGCAUGAGUUGCUGUCGCUCGAUUUAGGUGGCAGCAACGACUGUGUUGAGAUAUCGUCACUUGGUGUAAGUGGCAUGAGUUGCUACCGCUCGAUUUAGGUGGUAGUGACGCCUGGUUGUGAGAUAUCGUUACUCAGCUGAUUUUAGUGUAAAGAGUAAUUGGAUUUUCAAGUUUGGUUGUUUAUGUGUGAAUACUGGUCAAUGGUCCGUGUAUUGUUAGUUGAUGAUUUAUCAUGAUGUAAUGUGAGCUCAUGUAGAGUCAAAAGUAGAGCUAAUGUAGAGUCAAAAGUAGAGCUCAUGUAGAGUCAAAAGUAGAGCUCAUGUAGAGUCACAAGUAGAGCUCAUGUAGAGUCACAAGUAGAGCUCAUGUAGAGUCCUUUAUAGAGUCUCAUGUCAGGUCAGGAAUGACCGAGCGACCUUGGAUACUGUGCUGUGGUAUAUUGUUUCAGAUUAACACACGAGGACGUGUGUCACGCAGGAUGGCCGUGUCGGAGUUAGUUAUGAAUAAAGAAGAGAAAUUGAUCAAAUCGGAAAAUACAAUGAAGUUGCAACACUUCCAUCAUGAAGUUGCAACGCUCCGACGAAAGGUGGCGUACGAGCAGAGCGGAGUGAAGUCGAGAGUCACUACAGAGUCGUCGUGUCGAGCGGACGUGCACUGCCGUUCUAGUCGGGCAGUCUACCGCGAACCAUCGUCUUGAGCGGACGUGUCGAAUAAUUACGAUCGGAACGUGGAGUGCUAUAGUCGCUCACCUAUAACUUGUAGGGACGUCAAGAAAGUGUGAUCGGAAAAGAGUACCUAGCAAGUACGUUCACAUGUCCCGAUGAUUCGGUCCGAAUAUAGGAACCAUGGGUGGUGGAGGGCAAGUAGAGGGCGAGUAGCCCCUUCGCGCUAACGUCCUUAUGCGCGCUAGAUAACGAGAGACUGUGUAACCGUUACGAAUACCGUGACGUUGCCGUGAGUGUGUACCUUAUGCUGUGACUUUAUUUAAUCGUGAUACAAAAACUAUGUGGAAGUAAAUAAAAUGAUUGUGAUACUGA